AUGGACAACAGGUUGAUAUUCCUGUACUACCGAUAACCGUUUGAGAGAAGGGAUGACACAGUAGGAUAAGCUAAGCACACUGUUGGUUAUGUGUGCCCAAGCAUUGAGGCGGUCAAAGUAGGCAAAUCCGCUUUGAUAAUGCUGGGAUGUGAUGGGGAGCGAAAUUUAGUAGCGAAGUAGCUGAUUUCACACUGUCAAGAAAAGUCUCUA
This 210-nucleotide ribosomal RNA is filed under the name Clostridioides difficile. RNAcentral's name for it is "partial 23S ribosomal RNA". It matches the Rfam family "Bacterial large subunit ribosomal RNA", at positions 1418 to 1623 of the family's 2925-position model. The record is from RNAcentral. Lineage: Bacteria; Bacillati; Bacillota; Clostridia; Peptostreptococcales; Peptostreptococcaceae.